CCAGCCGUCAUCAUAUGAAUCAAUCCUUCUGGAGUGGUGGUAGUCUCUACUCUGAUCUGACUCAAGGCUCGAAUCAAAGCAUCUCUAUGAGUACUGGAUGAUGCUAAUAAACUCCAGAUGGAAAUGCGAGCCUGAGUGCUCUGUAGCUGUCUCAAAACCUCAUCAUCCUCUCUCCUAACCUCCUCAUGAGAGGCUGUACCCUCAAAUGGUCUGACUGCUGGUGGUGGUGGCUGAGCUAUCCUCCCACUACGAGUCACAAUCUGUAUCUCUCUCCCCUCUGAAUCAUCAUCCUCUG
RNAcentral lists this long non-coding RNA (295 nucleotides) under Vitis vinifera (wine grape). RNAcentral's name for it is "long non-coding RNA (VVIN_LNC002184)". The record is from RNAcentral. Lineage: Eukaryota; Viridiplantae; Streptophyta; Magnoliopsida; Vitales; Vitaceae.